RNAcentral lists this ribosomal RNA (433 nucleotides) under uncultured bacterium. Its description in RNAcentral is "partial 16S ribosomal RNA". It matches the Rfam family "Bacterial small subunit ribosomal RNA", at positions 29 to 507 of the family's 1533-position model. The record is from RNAcentral.
AACGAACGCUGGCGGCAUGCCUAACACAUGCAAGUCGAACGAGACCUUCGGGUCUAGUGGCGCACGGGUGCGUAACGCGUGGGAACCUGCCCUUAGGUUCGGAUUAACUCCCCGAAAGGGGUGCUAAUACCGGAUAAUGUCUUCGGACCAAAGAUUUAUCGCCUUUGGAUGGGCCCGCGUUGGAUUAGCUAGUUGGUAGGGUAAAAGCCUACCAAGGCGACGAUCCAUAGCUGGUCUGAGAGGAUGAUCAGCCACACUGGGACUGAGACACGGCCCAGACUCCUACGGGAGGCAGCAGUGGGGAAUAUUGGAAAAUGGGCGAAAGCCUGAUCCAGCAAUGCCGCGUGAGUGAUGAAGGCCUUAGGGUUGUAAAGCUCUUUUACCCGGGAUGAUAAUGACAGUACCGGGAGAAUAAGCUCCGGCUAACUCCGUG